RNAcentral lists this ribosomal RNA (380 nucleotides) under uncultured eukaryote. Its description in RNAcentral is "SSU rRNA". It matches the Rfam family "Eukaryotic small subunit ribosomal RNA", at positions 587 to 972 of the family's 1831-position model. The record is from RNAcentral.
AGCUCCAAUAGCGUAUAUUAAAGUUGUUGCGGUUAAAAGCUCGUAGUUGGAUUUCUGUUGAGGGAGGCCGGUCCAUACUAUGUAUGUGUAUCUGGUUCUGUCUCGGCAUCCUCUUGGGGAAGGGUUCUGUGCUUGAUUGCAUGGGCUCUGAUUCAAGACUUUUACUUUGAGGAAAUUAGAGUGUUCACGGCAAGCUAUCGCUUUGAAUACAUUAGCAUGGAAUAAUAAUAUAGGGCGUAAGUUCUAUUUUGUUGGUUUCUAGAACAUACGCAAUGAUUAAUAGGGAUAAUUGGGGGCACUCGUAUUAACGCGUCAGAGGUGGAAUUCUUAGAUUGCGUUACGACGAACUACUGCGAAAGCAUUUGCCAAGGAUGUUUUCA